CUCGGCCCAGAGACCGCGGGCGCCGGCCGCAGCGAGGAUGGGCGGGUUGGGUCGCUACCUGGGAAGCAGCUGGAAAAGCUCCUGCCGCGGAGGGCCCUUCCCUCAAGGUCCGCCCCGCGUCCUCCACCCGCCGCGUCAACGUCGUCCGUCGGAGACUUGCGGGACGAGGCGGCGGCCGCGUUUCCCGCCGCAGGGCCUGACGCGGACCUGGAGGCAGGGAGCGAAGUCCUGGCCGCGGCCCCGCGACGGCUAACUCGGGCGCGGGGACACCGGGGCUCAGCCCUGCAGAGCGCGCGGGGCGGGCGGCCUGUGCGUCCCCGAGGCCAGAUACCGCCCCUUCCUUCCUUCAGUCGUGGAGCCUUGACGGAGCGUCCGCUGCGAACGCGCGGCAAAGGGACAGAGCCCCUGCCCCGCUAAGGUGACUUGCCCGUGAGGGGACACCGACCAGCACAAAUACACGCAGACGAUGAGGAAAAAAACAAAAGCAAGGCAAUAAAAUGGCGGAGGAGUUCUUGGACCCCAACCUACUUUGGGGUAGGGCGCAGCUACUUUGGGCAGCUAAGUAAGGCCUCACUAAGGUGACUUUUCCUAAAAUAUUUUUCAAAAUCGGAAAGGUAUGACUCAUGCAAAUAUAAAAUGCACAUGUCUAAGGAAUUUGUUCAAUAAUGAUUAAACAGAAUUAUUCUGACACUUGCUAAAACAGCAAGGGAGAAUUUUAUUCAAACUAUUGUAACGGUUAUCGCAAAAGGGGAGAGAGAUUGGGUUCAACUCCAAACACAACAAAGACAGCUAGGGAUUUAAAGCCAAGGAGAGGGUUGGGGGUCAUGGAUGGAAAAUUACUAAGAGGACACAUCAAGGGUAGGGGAUUCUUCCUAAAAAGGAGGCCAAGGACUUAGACAGCAAAGGUGAGAAAUGAGGGACUUGAUCAGAUGUCAAGUGUGAGGGGAUUCACACUAAACUGACUUAGCAGGACUUUUUGCUAAGACUGGGCUGGACAGGCCAAAGACAGGUUGGGGUCCAAGGUGGAGGCCUAGUCUAAAACAGGGAUCAGAGGAGCCUGACUAAAGUUUGGCCAAGGAGAGAGUUUGUUAAUGAGUGACCUGAAUAAUGUUACAACCAAUGCAAAGGAGAAUUUCAAGAGAUAUUUUUAAAUAAUCAUUCAACCAAAGGAAUGCUGAAAAGAGGUUGCUAACAGGUGAAAGGUUAAUAUCCCAAUGGUAAUAAACAGUGAUGUUUGAAGUUG
Molecule: long non-coding RNA, 1243 nt
Organism: Microcebus murinus (gray mouse lemur)
Lineage: Eukaryota; Metazoa; Chordata; Mammalia; Primates; Cheirogaleidae
Source: RefSeq, a predicted model, not a curated record